RNAcentral lists this ribosomal RNA (465 nucleotides) under uncultured bacterium. RNAcentral describes it as "partial 16S ribosomal RNA". It matches the Rfam family "Bacterial small subunit ribosomal RNA", at positions 338 to 795 of the family's 1533-position model. The record is from RNAcentral.
CCUACGGGGGGCAGCAGUGGGGAAUUUUGCGCAAUGCUCGUGAGAGUGACGCAGCGACGCCGCGUGAAUGACGAAGGCCUUCGGGUCGGAAAGUUCUUUCGACAGGGAAGAAAAUGCCUAUAAGUAACUGUGUAUGUAUUGACGGUACCUGUAUAAGCAGCCCCGGCUAACUCCGUGCCAGCAGCCGCGGUAAUACGGAGGGGGCGAGCGUUGUUCGGAGUGACUGGGCGUAAAGAGCACGUAGGCGGUGUUGUAAGUCAUUAGUCAAAGACUAGAGCUCAACUUUAGUAAGGCUAGUGAUACUAUAAUCCUAGAGUAUCAGAGAGGAAUGCAGAAUUCGUGGUGUAGCGGUGAAAUGCGUAGAUAUCAGGAGGAAUACCGUUAGCGAAGGCGGCCAUCUGGCUGGAAACUGACGCUGAGGUGCGAAAGCGUGGGUAGCAAACAGGAUUAGAUACCCUUGUAGUC